AGUGGCGAACGGGUGAGUAACACGUGAGUAACCUGCCCUUAACUCUGGGAUAAGCCUGGGAAACUGGGUCUAAUACCGGAUAUGACUCCUCAUCGCAUGGUGGGGGGUGGAAAGCUUUAUUGUGGUUUUGGAUGGACUCGCGGCCUAUCAGCUUGUUGGUGAGGUAAUGGCUCACCAAGGCGACGACGGGUAGCCGGCCUGAGAGGGUGACCGGCCACACUGGGACUGAGACACGGCCCAGACUCCUACGGGAGGCAGCAGUGGGGAAUAUUGCACAAUGGGCGCAAGCCUGAUGCAGCGACGCCGCGUGAGGGAUGACGGCCUUCGGGUUGUAAACCUCUUUCAGUAGGGAAGAAGCGAAAGUGACGGUACCUGCAGAAGAAGCGCCGGCUAACUACGUGCCAGCAGCCGCGGUAAUACGUAGGGCGCAAGCGUUAUCCGGAAUUAUUGGGCGUAAAGAGCUCGUAGGCGGUUUGUCGCGUCUGCCGUGAAAGUCCGGGGCUCAACUCCGGAUCUGCGGUGGGUACGGGCAGACUAGAGUGAUGUAGGGGAGACUGGAAUUCCUGGUGUAGCGGUGAAAUGCGCAGAUAUCAGGAGGAACACCGAUGGCGAAGGCAGGUCUCUGGGCAUUAACUGACGCUGA
Molecule: ribosomal RNA, 643 nt
Filed under: Arthrobacter oryzae
Lineage: Bacteria; Bacillati; Actinomycetota; Actinomycetes; Micrococcales; Micrococcaceae
Description: bacterial SSU rRNA
Rfam family: Bacterial small subunit ribosomal RNA
Source: RNAcentral